RNAcentral lists this ribosomal RNA (460 nucleotides) under uncultured bacterium. Its description in RNAcentral is "partial 16S ribosomal RNA". It matches the Rfam family "Bacterial small subunit ribosomal RNA", at positions 338 to 795 of the family's 1533-position model. The record is from RNAcentral.
CCUACGUGAGGCAGCAGUGAGGAAUAUUGGUCAAUGGACGCAAGUCUGAACCAGCCAUGCCGCGUGCAGGAAGACGGCUCUAUGAGUUGUAAACUGCUUUUGUACGAGGGUAAACGCAGAUACGCGUAUCUGUCUGAAAGUAUCGUACGAAUAAGGAUCGGCUAACUCCGUGCCAGCAGCCGCGGUAAUACGGAGGAUUCAAGCGUUAUCCGGAUUUAUUGGGUUUAAAGGGUGCGUAGGCGGUCGGAUAAGUUAGAGGUGAAAUCCCGAGGCUCAACUUCGGAAUUGCCUCUGAUACUGUUCGGCUAGAGAGUAGUUGCGGUAGGCGGAAUGUAUGGUGUAGCGGUGAAAUGCUUAGAGAUCAUACAGAACACCGAUUGCGAAGGCAGCUUACCGGCGCCGAACUGACGCUGAAGCACGAAAGCGUGGGUAUCGAACAGGAUUUGAUACCCCUGUAGUC